RNAcentral lists this ribosomal RNA (301 nucleotides) under uncultured bacterium. RNAcentral's name for it is "partial 16S ribosomal RNA". It matches the Rfam family "Bacterial small subunit ribosomal RNA", at positions 509 to 807 of the family's 1533-position model. The record is from RNAcentral.
CAGCAGCCGCGGGAAUACGGAGGGUGCAAGCGUUAAUCGGAAUUACUGGGCGUAAAGCGCACGCAGGCGGUCUGACAAGUCAGAUGUGAAAUCCCCGGGCUUAACCUGGGAACUGCAUUUGAAACUGUCAGGCUGGAGUCUUGUAGAGGGGGGUGGAAUUCCAGGUGUAGCGGUGAAAUGCGUAGAGAUCUGGAGGAAUACCGGUGGCGAAGGCGGCCCCCUGGACAAAGACUGACGCUCAGGUGCGAAAGCGUGGGGAGCAAACAGGAUUAGAUACCCGGGUAGUCCCUGUCUCUUAUAC